This 253-nucleotide ribosomal RNA is filed under the name uncultured bacterium. RNAcentral's name for it is "partial 16S ribosomal RNA". It matches the Rfam family "Bacterial small subunit ribosomal RNA", at positions 524 to 776 of the family's 1533-position model. The record is from RNAcentral.
UACAGAGGUCUCAAGCGUUGUUCGGAUUCAUUGGGCGUAAAGGGUGUGUAGGUGGCGCCGUAAGUCGGGUGUGAAAUUUCGGAGCUUAACUCCGAAACUGCAUUCGAUACUGCGGUGCUUGAGGACUGGAGAGGAGACUGGAAUUUACGGUGUAGCAGUGAAAUGCGUAGAUAUCGUAAGGAAGACCAGUGGCGAAGGCGGGUCUCUGGACAGUUCCUGACACUGAGGCACGAAGGCCAGGGGAGCAAACGGG